This 499-nucleotide ribosomal RNA is filed under the name uncultured Glomeromycotina. RNAcentral's name for it is "partial small subunit ribosomal RNA". It matches the Rfam family "Eukaryotic small subunit ribosomal RNA", at positions 591 to 1092 of the family's 1831-position model. The record is from RNAcentral. Lineage: Eukaryota; Fungi; Glomeromycota.
CCAAUAGCGUAUAUUAAAGUUGUUGCAGUUAAAAAGCUCGUAGUUGAAUUUCGGAAUCAAUUUGUUGGUCGUGCCUCGGUACGUACUGGUAUUAUUGGUUUCUACCUUCUGAAGAACCUUGAUGUCAUUAAUUUGGUGUCUUGGGGAAUCAGGACUGUCACUUUGAAAAAAUUAGAGUGUUUAAAGCAAGCAUACGCUUGAAUACAUUAGCAUGGAAUAAUGAAAUAGGACGUUUGAUUCUAUUUUGUUGGUUUCUAGGAUCGACGUAAUGAUUAAUAGGGAUAGUUGGGGGCAUUAGUAUUCAAUUGUCAGAGGUGAAAUUCUUGGAUUUAUUGAAGACUAACUACUGCGAAAGCAUUUGCCAAGGAUGUUUUCAUUAAUCAAGAACGAAAGUUAGGGGAUCGAAGACGAUCAGAUACCGUCGUAGUCUUAACCAUAAACUAUGCCGACUAGGGAUCGGAUGAUGUUAAUUUUUUAAUGACUCAUUCGGCGCCUUACG